RNAcentral lists this small RNA (28 nucleotides) under Bombyx mori (domestic silkworm). RNAcentral describes it as "piRNA piR-bmo-1914061". The record is from RNAcentral. Lineage: Eukaryota; Metazoa; Arthropoda; Insecta; Lepidoptera; Bombycidae.
AAAGAUGCACCACGCCGGAACCGAAGCU